CAGGGGAGGGCGGGAGGCUGGCCCUGGCUCUGCCCUGGGAGAUGCCACCGGGCCUUGGUCUGGGGUGGAGGGCUGGCAGGAGGCUGGGUAUGGCCACUGCUCUGGAGUGACCAUAGAUUUCUGCCCUGCUUGCCUCAUUCUUCUCCUGAGGGCCCCAAUGGGACACUUGAGAGGGUUACUGGGGCCAGGGCUGGGGAGCGCUCUCAGCGCUGGCCUUCUGGGGCCCUGUGUCCUCUCUGCCCCUUUCUGACCUGGACCUGGGCUGGGGCCUCUGCCUUCCCCCAGGCCUGGAGACAGGCCAUUUUGGAGGCCCUCAGGCCCGACGAGCCUGCUCCUUGGAGCCAGGCUGGGGGCUGGGCUGUAUCCUGGUGGGAUGGGGGAGCUGGAGUGUGGGGUGGGAGUGGGGCUGGGAGCAGGUGGAGGUUGGUGCCUCAGGCUCUGGGGAAUGGACCUGGGAUGACUGGAGGGUGGAGAAGGGCCUCUCUCAACCCUGGGCUUUGGGGUGUGAGCCCAGCCCUGCUCCCAGGCAGGCAGCCUCCUGCAGCCCCAGGUUCCCAUGUUGAUGGAGCUGUGAUGAAAGGUGCCGGGGCCACCCUUGCCUUUGCAUAGACGCACAGCCGAGAAGUUGCACUGCUCAGAAAGGUGUUGCUGCCCGCUCGUGCACAGGUCGGAUUUUCUUGGGAGCUUGGGCUGAGACCCUGACCGGCCCUCCCACCAACCACCUACACCACCACCCAGCCAGCCAGCAACAGGACCAGGAGUGGUCAGGAGGGAGCCCCCGCGACCACCCACCGCGCCACCCCAGCCAGCCAACUCUGCCCGCCCAGGGCCGUGAGCUGGAGAUGCCAGGACUCCCUGGAGGCAGUGUGGGGCAUUCUUCUUAGUAAGUCCUGAGUCGAUGAUAAAGGGCAGUAUCAACCCCUCGCUAAUGCGCAGUGAGCGGGUUCCCAUACAGGGGAGACGUUUAAUUUAUCUAGGGAACUGGACGAAAGUUAUAAAAAUGGUAAUUUCUUGGAGAUUCAAUUACGUGUUUUCAUUGUUACCCUCAGUAA
Long non-coding RNA from Cebus imitator (Panamanian white-faced capuchin), 1052 nucleotides. RefSeq lists it as uncharacterized. The record is from RefSeq and is a predicted model, not a curated record. The transcript is spliced from 2 exons. NCBI's taxonomy places the organism in Eukaryota, Metazoa, Chordata, Mammalia, Primates, Cebidae.